RNAcentral lists this ribosomal RNA (253 nucleotides) under uncultured bacterium. RNAcentral describes it as "partial 16S ribosomal RNA". It matches the Rfam family "Bacterial small subunit ribosomal RNA", at positions 524 to 776 of the family's 1533-position model. The record is from RNAcentral.
UACGGAGGGAGCUAGCGUUGUUCGGAAUUACUGGGCGUAAAGCGCACGUAGGCGGCUACUCAAGUCGGGGGUGAAAGCCCGGGGCUCAACCCCGGAACUGCCCUCGAAACUAGGUAGCUAGAAUCUUGGAGAGGUCAGUGGAAUUCCGAGUGUAGAGGUGAAAUUCGUAGAUAUUCGGAAGAACACCAGUGGCGAAGGCGACUGACUGGACAAGUAUUGACGCUGAGAUGCGAAAGCGUGGGGAGCAAACAGG